This 484-nucleotide ribosomal RNA is filed under the name uncultured bacterium. RNAcentral describes it as "partial 16S ribosomal RNA". It matches the Rfam family "Bacterial small subunit ribosomal RNA", at positions 30 to 507 of the family's 1533-position model. The record is from RNAcentral.
AUUGAACGCUGGCGGCAGGCCUAACACAUGCAAGUCGAGCGGCAGAAGAGUGCUUGCUUGCGGUUUCAGGUGCCGACGGGCGAGCAAUGCCUAGGAACAUGCCUGUCUGCUUGGGCUAACGUCCUAAAACGGGCGCACAUACGCCAUUCGCCCUGAGGGCGUACGUGUGGGAUCUUGGGAUCUUCCGCUCUUAGACGAGUCGAUGUCGGAUUAGCUAGUUGGGGGGGUAAAGGCCUACCAAGGCGACAAUCCGUAACUGGUCUGAGAGGAUGAUCAGUCACACUGGAACUGAGACACGGUCCAGACUCCUACGGGAGGCAGCAGUGGGGAAUAUUGGACAAUGGGCGCAAGCCUGAUCCAGCCAUACCGCGUGUGUGAAGAAGGUCUUCGGAUUGUAAAGCACUUUUGGUUGGGAAGAAGAGCAGUAAGUUAAUACCUUGCUGUUUUGACGUUACCCACAGAAUAAGCACCGGCUAACUUCGUG